AGGGCGCACGGUGAAUGCCUAGGCACUAACAGCCGAUGAAGGACGUGACGAACUACGAAAAGCUUCGGGGAGCGGUAAGUACGCAGUGAUCCGGAGAUGUCCGAAUGGGGGAACCCAAUGCAGCGAUGCAUUAUUGGUUGAUGAAUAGAUAGUCAAUCAAAGGAAGACGCAGUGAACUGAAACAUCUAAGUAGCUGCAGGAAGAGAAAGAAAAAUCGAUUUCCUUAGUAGCGGCGAGCGAAGAGGAAAGAGCCCAAACCAAGUGAUUUAUCAUUUGGGGUUGUAGGACUGCAAAGUGGUAGCGUAAGCGAUAGUUGAAUUAUCUGGGAAGGUAAGCCAGAGAGGGUGAGAGCCCCGUAAGCGAAAUUGCGAGCGCGCCUAGCAGAAUCCUGAGUAGGCCGGGACACGAGGAAUCCCGGUUGAAGCCGCGAGGACCAUCUCGCAAGGCUAAAUACUAGUUAGUGACCGAUAGUGAACCAGUACCGUGAGGGAAAGGUGAAAAGAACCCCGGAAGGGGAGUGAAAGAGAACCUGAAACCGUGUGUCUACAAGUAGUCAAAGCACAUUAAAGUGCGAUGGCGUGCCUUUUGUAGAAUGAACCGGCGAGUUACGUUAUCUAGCGAGGUUAAGUCAGAAAAGACGGAGCCGGAGCGAAAGCGAGUCUGAAUAGGGCGAAGAGUUAGGUGACGUAGACCCGAAACCAAGUGACCUACCCAUGGCCAGGCUGAAGGUGUGGUAAAACGCACUGGAGGGCCGAACCCACGUAAGUUAAAAAUUGCGGGGAUGAGCUGUGGGUAGCGGUGAAAUUCCAAACGAACUUGGAGAUAGCUGGUUCUCUCCGAAAUAGCUUUAGGGCUAGCCUCGUGGAGAGGAUAAUGGAGGUAGAGCUCUGUUUGGACUAGGGGCCCGUCAGGGGUUACUGAAUCCAGAUAAACUGCGAAUUCCAUAUAUCCAUACACGGGAGUCAGACUGCGAGUGAUAAGAUCCGUAGUCGAAAGGGAAACAGCCCAGAUCACCAGUUAAGGUCCCCAAAUCUAUGCUAAGUGGAAAAGGAUGUGGAGUUGCGUAGACAACUAGGACGUUGGCUCAGAAGCAGCCAUCAUUCAAAGAGUGCGUAAUAGCUCACUAGUCGAGUGGCGCUGCGCCGAAAAUUUACCGGGGCUAAGCAUAGUACCGAAACUGUGGAUGCAUCGAAAGAUGCGUGGUAGGAGAGCGUUCUAAGUGCGGCGAAGGUUAACCGAGAGGAUAAUUGGAGCGCUUAGAAGUGAGAAUGCCGGUAUGAGUAGCGAAAGACAGGUGAGAAUCCUGUCCGCCGAAAGACUAAGGUUUCCUGGGGCAGGCUCGUCCGCCCAGGGUAAGUCGGGACCUAAGGCAAGGCCGAGAGGCGUAGUCGAUGGAUAACAGGUAGAAAUUCCUGUACUGUGUUUAAUCGUUAUGAGCGAUGGAGGGACGCAGGAGGUGAAACACGCAUCGAGCUGGAUCGAUGUUCAAGCAACAAGUGCGGUUAAGAGUCAAAUGCUUCUAACCAGCAACACGAGUUGUGAUGAGUAGCGAAGUAAUAGUAGCGAAGGUGAUGUAAUCACACUGCCAAGAAAAGCUUCUAGCCAGAGAGGACACACCCGUACCGCAAACCGACACAGGUAGUCGAGUGGAGAACACUAAGGUGAGCGAGAGAACUCUCGUUAAGGAACUCGGCAAAAUGACCCCGUAACUUCGGAAGAAGGGGUGCUGGCCACGAGAGUGGUUAGCCGCAGUGAAUAGGCCCAAACAACUGUUUAUCAAAAACACAGGUCUCUGCAAAAUCGUAAGAUGACGUAUAGAGGCUGACACCUGCCCGGUGCUGGAAGGUUAAGAGGAGAGCUUAGCGAAAGCGAAGGUUCGAAUUGAAGCCCCAGUAAACGGCGGCCGUAACUAUAACGGUCCUAAGGUAGCGAAAUUCCUUGUCGGGUAAGUUCCGACCUGCACGAAAGGUGUAAUGAUUUGGGCACUGUCUCAACGAGAGACUCGGUGAAAUUAUAAUACCCGUGAAGAUGCGGGUUACCCGCGACAGGACGGAAAGACCCCAUGGAGCUUCACUGUAGCUUGAUAUUGAGUAUCUUUUAAACAUGUACAGGAUAGGUAGGAGCCAAGGAAGGCAGGACGCUAGUUUUGCUGGAGGCAAUGUUGGGAUACUACCCUUGUUUGAAGGAUGCUCUAACCUCGACCUGUAAGCCAGGUCAGGGACAGUGUCAGGUGGGCAGUUUGACUGGGGCGGUCGCCUCCUAAAGUGUAACGGAGGCGCUCAAAGGUUCCCUCAGAAUGGUUGGAAAUCAUUCGCAGAGUGUAAAGGUAUAAGGGAGCUUGACUGCGAGAGAAACAGCUCGAGCAGGGACGAAAGUCGGACUUAGUGAUCUGGUGGUACCGUAUGGAAGGGCCAUCACUCAACGGAUAAAAGCUACCCUGGGGAUAACAGGCUUAUCUCCCCCAAGAGUUCACAUCGACGGGGAGGUUUGGCACCUCGAUGUCGGCUCGUCGCAUCCUGGGGCUGAAGUCGGUCCCAAGGGUUGGGCUGUUCGCCCAUUAAAGCGGCACGCGAGCUGGGUUCAGAACGUCGUGAGACAGUUCGGUCCCUAUCCGUCGUGGGCGUAGGAAAUUUGAGAGGAGCUGUCCUUAGUACGAGAGGACCGGGAUGGACGCACCGCUGGUGUACCAGUUGUUCCGCCAGGAGCAUCGCUGGGUAGCUAUGUGCGGAAGGGAUAAGCGCUGAAAGCAUCUAAGUGCGAAGCCCCCCUCAAGAUGAGAUUUCCUUUGC
RNAcentral lists this ribosomal RNA (2789 nucleotides) under Escherichia coli. RNAcentral describes it as "bacterial LSU rRNA". It matches the Rfam family "Bacterial large subunit ribosomal RNA". The record is from RNAcentral. Lineage: Bacteria; Pseudomonadati; Pseudomonadota; Gammaproteobacteria; Enterobacterales; Enterobacteriaceae. RNAcentral also lists the same sequence under 3 other names.